UGCCCGAAUGGAAACGUUGAUGAGAUGACUGUAUGUGGGCACUUGGUCAUUUCGGAGUGAGUAGUGCAACCGGCCGAGCA
This 80-nucleotide non-coding RNA is filed under the name Salisediminibacterium selenitireducens. Its description in RNAcentral is "Bacillus selenitireducens c-di-GMP-II sequence". It matches the Rfam family "Cyclic di-GMP-II riboswitch aptamer". Lineage: Bacteria; Bacillati; Bacillota; Bacilli; Caryophanales; Bacillaceae. The record is from RNAcentral.